CUCUACGGCCAUACCACCCUGAACGCGCCCGAUCUCGUCUGAUCUCGGAAGCUAAGCAGGGUCGGGCCUGGUUAGUACUUGGAUGGGAGACAUUGUAUGUUGGAUUGUUGAAGACCAGAGUUGUGGUAAAGG
This 132-nucleotide ribosomal RNA is filed under the name Mustela putorius furo (domestic ferret). The record is from RNAcentral. Lineage: Eukaryota; Metazoa; Chordata; Mammalia; Carnivora; Mustelidae.